RNAcentral lists this non-coding RNA (872 nucleotides) under Phrynocephalus versicolor. Lineage: Eukaryota; Metazoa; Chordata; Lepidosauria; Squamata; Agamidae. The record is from RNAcentral.
UAACGUUUUGGUCCUAGACUUACUGCUAUUUGUAAACAAGUCUAUACAUGCAAGCCUCAACAUUCCCGUGAAAUACGCCUAUAAAACAAAGUGUAAACAGAGCUGGCAUCAGGGUGACCCCCAAGACGCCAAGCCCCGCCACAUCCACACGGACAUGCAGCAGUAAUUAACAUUUAACAAUGAGCCAAGCUCGAUUAAGCUAUGAUCAAUUAGAGUCGGCAAAUCUCUGUGCCAGCCGCCGCGGUUAUACAGAAGACCCAAAAUAGCAUGACCGGCAAAAAAAUGACUAAAAUUUAAUCCAACCAACAAAUAAGAAGAACACAAAAUUGGACCGUUAAACAGCACCUACAAUAAUACCAAAACAAUCUUAUAUUAAGGACAUUUGACUCAUCAAAACCAGGGUACAAACUAGGAUUAGAUACCCUACUAUGCCUGGAAAUAAACAACACUGCCAAAAAAGUACAAACAUUAGUUCAAAACUUAAAAGACCUGGCGGUGUCCAAAAUCAACCUAGAGGAGCUUGUUAUAUAAUCGAUAAUCCACGUUAAACCUUACCUACUCUGGCAAAUCCAGCCUAUAUACCGCCGUCGACAGCCCAUUUUUCUAAAAAUAGAGCGACUUAGGCUCCCCCUAAAACGACAGGCCAAGGCGUAGCUUAUGAGAAGGACAAUAAUGGGCUACACUACUACACAACAACAAAACUUCACUGAAAUACAGUCGCACGAAGAAGAAUUUAGCAGUAAGAAGAAUAAGAGCGUUCUACUGAACCAGGACAUUGGACACGCACACACCGCCCGUCACCCUCACCAUAGUCUUAUAGGAGAGGAAAGUCGUAACAUGGUAAGCGUACCAGAAGGUGUGCUUGGAAGCAA